GCCGAGGUGGCGAAAUUGGCAGACGCGCACGCUUCAGAAGCGUGUCCUGGUUUACAGGAUGGAGGUUCAAGUCCUCUCCUCGGCACAA
RNAcentral lists this transfer RNA (88 nucleotides) under Candidatus Microgenomates bacterium. Its description in RNAcentral is "tRNA-Leu". It matches the Rfam family "tRNA". From Rfam's summary of the family: Transfer RNA (tRNA) molecules are approximately 80 nucleotides in length. Their secondary structure includes four short double-helical elements and three loops (D, anti-codon, and T loops). The record is from RNAcentral. Lineage: Bacteria; Candidatus Microgenomatota.